CAGAUCCAACAUUGUAUUGUAAAUAUAAUACCCGUUUACUGCUGUGCGUUUAAGUUCAGCCAUUUCUGCGUGGACAACUUGCUAUCUUUUGUAUGGUGUCAGCUUACAGGAAUGUUUCCAGAUACUUUGUCAGGUCAGAGCAGGAACCCGUGCAUUCAAAAUCGGACGCUGUACAUAUCAGGCGGGAAAUUCCAUCACAUUGCUGGAUGUAGAAGACGGUACAUUUUACUUUGGUGACAAGACGACAGAUUUCUAAAAGGAGAAGCCAACACAGACGCAAGAAAAGCCCGAUGGCAAAGAUGACUGAUUAUUUUCCAUAUGUAUUGAUGAAAUAAAGUAUUCUUUAAAACA
This is a long non-coding RNA of Haliotis rubra (blacklip abalone), 351 nucleotides long. RefSeq lists it as uncharacterized. The record is from RefSeq and is a predicted model, not a curated record. The transcript has 2 exons. NCBI's taxonomy places the organism in Eukaryota, Metazoa, Mollusca, Gastropoda, Lepetellida, Haliotidae.